Molecule: long non-coding RNA, 1902 nt
Organism: Stegastes partitus (bicolor damselfish)
Lineage: Eukaryota; Metazoa; Chordata; Actinopteri; Pomacentridae
Exons: 2
Source: RefSeq, a predicted model, not a curated record
CCCGGAAGUAGACGCAGGGGCUGACAGCAGAUGGGAUUUUAUUGAAACACAGUUGCUGCAGAUGUAAUGCGAUGAUGUGAAAUGAACAUGUUUGGGAUGGUAGAAAGACUGUCCGGGUCUGGUGAAUUUCAGAAGUAGCUAAUGCUUGUAUGACGGAGCCCGACUGACCUGCAGCCGAGCCUCCCUGUCUGCUUCACCAUGCCGCUGGUGGUGGAUGCUGUGUGGGCGCUGUGGAGCAUCGCGGCCGGCAUCUACGACUACUUCCACACCAGUGCCAUGGAGGAGAGGAUCCACACGCUGGAGAACGUCCUCUCUAUCCACCAGUUUGUGAUCGCUGCCCUGUCGGCGGGCCUCAUCCUGCUCAUGACGUACAUACUAUUGAGAAAACACUAAAACCCAGGCUGACCUGGGCUUCUCCAGCCAAGCCCAAGCACCCAGUACAUGUCGUUUUCAUUGCAGGAUGUUUUUCAUUAUCCAGGGUAACUUCCAUCCUUAUGUGGGCCAGAGUCAGUUUGGUUGAAGAUCGAGCAUGCUCAGCUAUGAUGAUGAUGGCCCAGAUGAAGUCAGAAGUGCUGAUGGGCACCGACAAUGAACAAAACUCCAUCAACGCAGUCUCUGAAAACACGAGUACACUUCGGGUGUCGGGCGCUUGGUCAGUCUGUCUGUCGCUGUACUUUAAAUGUUAAACUAGCCUGAAACGGUCUACAGACCAUCGUCCACAUUAAUACAAAAAAACAAAAAAAACAGCUUCUCAAGGUAACUUUGCACAUCUUUAUCCAAGCUUGAAGUAUUUCACUGUUUUGUUGGUGAUGACAGCUUUUUAUGAAAAGUGGAAACACUUUUGAUUUGUUACAGAAACAAAGUGGGACGGUGGUUGCCACUGAGUUUUUUAACCCUAUUAUUUUAAGAUGACAACAUAAUUACCUCCACAUCAACUAUUUUCUCAUGCUUACAAAUUAAUCAUGUUACUUUUCUGAUUUUUUUGUUCCACUUAUUAAGUAAACGACCAGUAGCAGUUCAUACAGAUUAACUGAUUUGAAUUUGUUGAAAAUUAUUUGACAAAUGAUGCCCAUAACAGAAAACAGCAUCAGAGUUAGAUUUUUGUACAAAAAUUGGAUUUCAAUUCACUUUAAUGUUUCUUUUCAUAUUUAUUUAUUUAUCAAAAGACCCAAGACAAAGACUAAUGAAUAAAAUUAGAAACAAAGUGAUCUUAAAUCUGCAUUUCCCAUUGAUAACUUUAUCAAGCACUGGAAUUUCAUCCAUCAUUAGGGUAAGAUUGUAUCAUAUUUGUUAGGUUUUAGUGGGACCGGGUUGCCAAAUAAUAGUAGGUUCCGCUCUUUAACACUGGUCUUGGAUCAUGCGACUUCGUGGAUGUGGUUAAACGGAAGUUCAUCACAUCAAACAUCCCAUCUCCGACGUCGGUCCUAGCUCGCAGAGUUAGUUCAAAGGCUGGAAGUGAUCUCGUUGCACUGUUAAAGCAAAGACUAUAAUCCGAGCAGAGAUUUUAAUGCCUAUGGCGGUUGUGGUUUGUAAUUAUCCUGGAGUAACAGGAUAAGCAGAAAAAAAAACACUUCAAACACUGGGACGUUAAUUCAUCCUUUAUGUGAUUUCUGUUUUCUUGCUGAGGAGAAAAUGUUGGAUGUUAAGUAUUUUAUUUAGUGUUGUCUAAUGUGCUUUGCAAAGGCAGCUUCUGUGUGUGUUUAAUUUGUCCGGGUUUUCUUUUUUUUUCCUUUUAUGUCUGUGUUUCAAAUGAUUUAGAGUUACUUGGUUGCUGUCACUGCUGUACCUGCUUACUCUCUGGGGUUCAUUGCUACUGUACCGUAUGCACUACUGUACAUUUGACUCUGUUCAACCACUACCAUGGCUACUAUUAAAGGGAAUAUGUUUAAAUAAUAAUCAGAA